This 2447-nucleotide small RNA is filed under the name Pan troglodytes (chimpanzee). Its description in RNAcentral is "retained intron". Lineage: Eukaryota; Metazoa; Chordata; Mammalia; Primates; Hominidae. The record is from RNAcentral.
UGAUUUGUGCUGGGAUGGAAUCGGAAUUUUGAUUUAUUUUUCCUCUCCCAACCAUAAGAAGAAAAAAAUAAUAAAAACACCCCCUCUUGAGAGCCCCCUCCCCCUUUGCAUCCAGCUCCCAGCUCUUCUUCCCUAUCUCCAUCCAAGGCAGAUUUUUUCCCCUACACUAUUCUCAUCUUCCCCCACCCUUGCCACUACCUCGCCCCCCCACCCAGCCUGCUCCUCCAGCUGGGGAGAGAGGGGACUCUCCGGACUCCCCCACCUUUCCUCUCUGGGUUGGAGCAGUCUCUCCGGAAGGGGAGGGGGCUUGGCUUGUCCGGGCGAGGUGGGAGUGGAGGUAUCCUGCCAUGGAUGCUGUGCCGGGGAGGCAGCCUGAGCCCCAGCCCACAUGCCACUCAGGAUGAGGGUCCGGCCCUGCCUGCCCUCGCUGGGGCCCCCCCGCCCGGCCCCGGUCUAACUGCCCCCGCCCCGAGGCCUCGCCCGGCUCCAAGGCCCCCAGCCGGCUCUCCAGUCCCAGGAUGCGCUGAGCCGCCGGGGGGCUGAGGCCGCGCCAACUACAUGCAUGUCCCCCGGGGGCAAGUUCGACUUUGACGACGGGGGCUGCUACGUGGGGGGCUGGGAGGCGGGGCGGGCACAUGGCUACGGCGUGUGCACGGGCCCCGGCGCCCAGGGCGAGUACAGCGGCUGCUGGGCACACGGCUUCGAGUCACUGGGCGUCUUCACGGGGCCCGGCGGACACAGCUACCAGGGCCACUGGCAGCAGGGCAAGCGCGAAGGGCUGGGCGUGGAGCGCAAGAGCCGCUGGACGUACCGCGGCGAGUGGCUGGGCGGGCUGAAGGGGCGCAGCGGCGUGUGGGAAAGCGUGUCCGGCCUGCGCUACGCCGGGCUCUGGAAGGACGGUUUCCAGGACGGCUACGGCACCGAGACCUACUCCGACGGAGGCACCUACCAGGGCCAGUGGCAGGCCGGGAAGCGCCACGGCUACGGGGUGCGCCAGAGUGUGCCCUACCAUCAGGCGGCGCUGCUGCGCUCACCCCGCCGCACCUCCCUGGAUUCCGGCCACAGCGACCCCCCGACGCCACCCCCGCCCCUGCCCUUGCCGGGCGACGAGGGAGGCAGCCCCGCCUCGGGCUCCCGGGGCGGCUUCGUGCUGGCCGGGCCCGGGGACGCCGACGGCGCGUCGUCCCGAAAGCGCACUCCGGCGGCCGGCGGAUUCUUUCGCCGUUCGCUGCUGCUCAGCGGGCUCCGAGCGGGCGGACGUCGCAGCUCCCUGGGCAGCAAGCGAGGCUCCCUGCGCAGCGAGGUGAGCAGCGAGGUGGGCAGCACCGGACCGCCCGGCUCGGAGGCCAGCGGGCCCCCGGCCGCAGCGCCGCCCGCCCUCAUCGAGGGCUCGGCCACAGAGGUGUACGCGGGCGAGUGGCGCGCAGAUCGGCGCAGCGGCUUCGGCGUCAGCCAGCGCUCCAACGGGCUGCGCUACGAGGGCGAGUGGCUGGGCAACCGGCGGCACGGCUACGGGCGCACCACCCGCCCCGACGGCUCCCGCGAGGAGGGCAAGUACAAGCGCAACCGGCUGGUGCACGGCGGGCGCGUCCGCAGUCUCCUGCCUCUGGCCCUUCGGCGGGGCAAAGUUAAGGAGAAGGUGGACAGGGCUGUCGAGGGCGCCCGUCGAGCCGUGAGUGCUGCCCGUCAGCGCCAGGAGAUCGCCGCUGCCAGGUGGGCGUCCAGUUCAGAGGCCAAAGCUGGGCUAAGAGGAGGGGGUGCGCUGGGGACCAGGAAGGCGGGUGUGCCUAAGGGAGGACCAAGCCCCAAGGCCCAGGGCCUGCUAUUGCAAGCCUAAGGCCAGGCAGUUGUACCCCUGGGCAUUCUUGGUGUUUAUAUCCGAGGCUACAGGUGGAUGUGGGUGUAACUCUGGGUAGCUGGGUAUUUGAGGGAGAUGGUGUAAGACUGUAAAUGUGUCUCGGUGUCUUUUGUGUGGAGAUGCAUGUCUAUGGAAUCCAUUGUUGUGUGUGGGAGUAGCAAGGAAGCUGUUUUGUGCAGGCCCAGAAAUCUCUUGGAACUCAAAACAUGUCCCUAGUCUUCCUCCUCUUGCAGCUGAUCCAGCCUCCAGGCCUCAGGCUGGGAGCAUCAACCCUGGGUGGAAUAGGGACUGUCCCUUCCUAACCACGUCCCAGCCUGACACCAUUUCAGCCUUGGGCCUUUGGGAAGUCUAAUUUAUACAGCUGACCUAUCCGCCUGAAAAGAUAGUCUCUCCCAGUUUUGCCCCCUCUGCCUUCUUUUACCCAACUGAUGGGAGGUUUGAGGGGAGGAGGCUUCCCUGUAAAUGAAACGUUUCUGUAAAUCAAAUUACAUUUCCUUGCAUCAGGAACCUUGCUAUCUAAAGCAGUGCUGUUUAACAGGAAUAUUAUAUAAGCCAAAUAGGUAGUUUUAAAUCUCAUAGUAACCACAUU